RNAcentral lists this unclassified non-coding RNA (266 nucleotides) under Hevea brasiliensis (rubber tree). The record is from RNAcentral. Lineage: Eukaryota; Viridiplantae; Streptophyta; Magnoliopsida; Malpighiales; Euphorbiaceae.
UUUCUAAUCACAUUGCUUGCACGGUUGAGAUGGUUUCGACUGAUGAGAUGUAUGAUGUAGCAGUUAUUGAUGAAAUCCAAAUGAUGGCGGACACACAUAGAGGUUAUGCAUGGACGAGGGCUCUACUAGGAUUAAAAGCUGAUGAGAUACAUGUUUGUGGAGAUCCAAGUGUUUUGAAUAUUGUUCGCAAAGUCUGUUCUGAAACUGGGGAUGAGUUGGUAGAACAGCAUUAUGAGAGGUUUAAGCCAUUGGUGGUUGAAGCAAAG